UCGCGAAACCUUCACACUGGGGGAAACCCUGAUGAGGGAAUUCCUAGUGCCUGCAUUUUUUGUAGGCUUUUAUCUAGUGUAGAUAGCUAGAAGAAUAAGGGCCGGGUAAGACGGGUGCCAGCCGCCGCGGUAAUACCCGCGGCCCAAGUGGUGGUCGAUAUUAUUGAGUCUAAAACGUCCGUAGCCGGUUCAGUAAAUCUUUGGGUAAAUCGGCCAGCUUAACUGACCGAAUUCCGAAGAGACUGCUGAACUUGGGACCGGGAGAGGCCAGAGGUACUUCUGGGGUAGGGGUAAAAUCCUGUAAUCCUAGAAGGACCACCGGUGGCGAAGGCGUCUGGCUAGAACGGAUCCGACGGUGAGGGACGAAGCCCUGGGGCGCAAACGGGAUUAGAUACCCCGGUAGUCCAGGGUGUAAACGCUGCAGGCUUGGUGUUGGGGGUCCUUCGGGGGCGCCCAGUGCCGGAGAGAAGUUGUUAAGCCUGCUACUUGGGGAGUACGUCCGCAAGGAUGAAACUUAAAGGAAUUGGCGGGGGAGCACCGCAACGGGAGGAGCGUGCGGUUUAAUUGGAUUCAACACCGGAAAACUCACCAGGAGCGACGGUUACAUGAAAGUCAGCUGAUGACCCUUACUAGAUUUUCC
This 640-nucleotide ribosomal RNA is filed under the name uncultured euryarchaeote. Its description in RNAcentral is "bacterial SSU rRNA". It matches the Rfam family "Archaeal small subunit ribosomal RNA", at positions 339 to 981 of the family's 1478-position model. Lineage: Archaea; Methanobacteriati; Methanobacteriota. The record is from RNAcentral.